AAGUAAAGCUGUCGGGUAGGCUUAAUACAUGCUAGUCGUGGGGCAUGCAUGAAUGUAGCAAUACAUUUGAUGGCGACCGGCAAACGGGUGCGGAACACGUACACAACCUUCCUAUAAGUGGGGAAUAGCCCAGAGAAAUUUGGAUUAAUACCCCGUAACAUAACGAUGUGGCAUCACAUUGUUAUUAUAGCUUCGGCGCUUAUUGAUGGGUGUGCGGCUGAUUAGAUAGUUGGCGGGGUAACGGCCCACCAAGUCUACGAUCAGUAGCUGAUGUGUGAGCAUGAUCAGCCACACGGGCACUGAGACACGGGCCCGACUCCUACGGGAGGCAGCAGUAAGGAAUAUUGGUCAAUGGACGCAAGUCUGAACCAGCCAUGCCGCGUGAAGGAUUAAGGUCCUCUGGAUUGUAAACUUCUUUUAUCUGGGACGAAAAAAGGCGAUUCUUCGUCACUUGACGGUACCAGAUGAAUAAGCACCGGCUAACUCCGUGCCAGCAGCCGCGGUAAUACGGAGGGUGCAAGCGUUAUCCGGAUUCACUGGGUUUAAAGGGUGCGUAGGCGGGCAGGUAAGUCAGUGGUGAAAUCCUGGAGCUUAACUCCAGAACUGCCAUUGAUACUAUCUGUCUUGAAUAUUGUGGAGGUAAGCGGAAUAUGUCAUGUAGCGGUGAAAUGCUUAGAUAUGACAUAGAACACCUAUUGCGAAGGCAGCUUACUACGCAUAUAUUGACGCUGAGGCACGAAAGCGUGGGGAUCAAACAGGAUUAGAUACCCUGGUAGUCCACGCCCUAAACGAUGGAUACUCGACAUACGCGAUACACUGUGUGUGUCUGAGCGAAAGCAUUAAGUAUCCCACCUGGG
This 857-nucleotide ribosomal RNA is filed under the name uncultured bacterium. Its description in RNAcentral is "bacterial SSU rRNA". It matches the Rfam family "Bacterial small subunit ribosomal RNA", at positions 28 to 877 of the family's 1533-position model. The record is from RNAcentral.